GACAGAGGCCUCAAGCGUUAGGCGGAAUCACUGGGCUUAAAGCGUGUGUAGGCGGAUCGUUAAGUGUCUUGUGAAAUCCCACGGCUCACCCGUGGAACUGCUGGGCAUACUGGCGAUCUUGGGCCAACUAGGGGCAGCCGGAACAAGCGGUGGAGCGGUGAAAUGCGUAGAUAUCGCUUGGAACGCCGAAGGUGAAAACAGGCUGCUGGGGUUGUGCCGACGCUGAGACACGAAAGCGUGGGGAGCGAACAGG
This 253-nucleotide ribosomal RNA is filed under the name uncultured bacterium. RNAcentral's name for it is "partial 16S ribosomal RNA". It matches the Rfam family "Bacterial small subunit ribosomal RNA", at positions 524 to 776 of the family's 1533-position model. The record is from RNAcentral.